UACGAAGGGGGCUAGCGUUGUUCGGAAUUACUGGGCGUAAAGCGCGCGCAGGCGGUCUUCCAAGUCAGUGGUGAAAGCCCGGAGCUCAACUCCGGAACUGCCAUUGAAACUGUUGGACUUGAGUACGAGAGAGGUGAGUGGAAUUCCCAGUGUAGAGGUGAAAUUCGUAGAUAUUGGGAAGAACACCGGUGGCGAAGGCGGCUCACUGGCUCGAUACUGACGCUGAGGUGCGAAAGCGUGGGGAGCAAACAGG
This 253-nucleotide ribosomal RNA is filed under the name uncultured bacterium. RNAcentral's name for it is "partial 16S ribosomal RNA". It matches the Rfam family "Bacterial small subunit ribosomal RNA", at positions 524 to 776 of the family's 1533-position model. The record is from RNAcentral.